AGGAUUUCGAGACUUGGUGCCGACCCCAGAGGCUCCGGCCGAGAUGCAGCUUUCCGGCUGCGGGUGCAGGGUUGGGGGGAGCGAGCCGCGAGAGCGCGGCGGCCAGCCUUCAAGGGCUUCAAGUCGCGUUCUUCGUGGCGACGAGCUCCGGGCCGGCCCAGCCCCACCAAGCACUGGGCAACUGCCUUCGGAAGCAGGGGGCAAAGAGUCCAAGUCUUCGUUCCACCGACCCGGGUGUGGAAGCCAAUCGAACAAUGUGCAUGAGGACCUUCCUCCGCGGAUGCACACUCGAACGACUGGGGAGGCUUUUCACUCGCUCAAAACACUCCCAGCUUCCUUCUUCCAAAGUAACCACGCUGCGAAAAUCCAGAUGCCGGGAGUAAGAUUUUGUGCCUGAAAAUGUGAUGCCACUGUUGCCAGCUGUAGCUUCUCCGUUUUAGACAUUUUUACAGCUCUAAGAUGCCCCUGAAGGCAGAUACAGAGGUACCCUGCUCUUAAGGAUAUCUUGGAAAUUCAAGCUGGAAGGAAACCAGGCCCAGAUUGUCAAAGGGGCUUGCUUAAAGUUGUGCAGAGGAGGUU
Molecule: long non-coding RNA, 579 nt
Organism: Dama dama (fallow deer)
Lineage: Eukaryota; Metazoa; Chordata; Mammalia; Artiodactyla; Cervidae
Exons: 3
Source: RefSeq, a predicted model, not a curated record